AUUGAACGCUGGCGGCAGGCCUAACACAUGCAAGUCGAGCGAGCGGAGGACGGGGGAGUAAUGUCUGGGAAACAGCCUGAUGGAGGGGGAUAACGAAUGGAGACGGUAGCUAAUACCGCAUACCAUGAGAUGUGCACAGAUGGGUUUGGCAAGUAGGUGGGGGAACGGCUCACCUAGGCGUCGAUCCCUAGCUGGUCUGAGAGGAUGACCACCCACACUGGAACUAGUACACGGUCCAGACUCCUACGGGAGGCAGCAGUGGGGAAUAUUGCACAAUUGGCGCAAGCCUGGUGCAGCCAGGCCGCGUGUGUGAAGAGGGCCUUCGGGUUUUAAAGCACUUUCAUCGGGGAGGCGUUACCCGCAGAAGAAGCACCGGCUAACUCCGUGCCAGCAGCCGCGGUAAUUC
RNAcentral lists this ribosomal RNA (406 nucleotides) under uncultured bacterium. Its description in RNAcentral is "partial 16S ribosomal RNA". It matches the Rfam family "Bacterial small subunit ribosomal RNA", at positions 30 to 526 of the family's 1533-position model. The record is from RNAcentral.